GCUGGGAUAGCUCAGUCGGUAGGGCGUAAGACUCCUAACCUUAGAGUUGUGGGUUCAAGCCCUACGUUGGGCA
Non-coding RNA from Podarcis lilfordi (Lilford's wall lizard), 73 nucleotides. NCBI's taxonomy places the organism in Eukaryota, Metazoa, Chordata, Lepidosauria, Squamata, Lacertidae. The record is from the annotation of a GenBank genome assembly.